This 468-nucleotide ribosomal RNA is filed under the name uncultured bacterium. Its description in RNAcentral is "partial 16S ribosomal RNA". It matches the Rfam family "Bacterial small subunit ribosomal RNA", at positions 28 to 507 of the family's 1533-position model. The record is from RNAcentral.
GACGAACGCCGGCGGCGUGCUUAACACAUGCAAGUCGAACGGAAAGGCCCUGCUUUUGUGGGGUGCUCGAGUGGCGAACGGGUGAGUAACACGUGAGUAACCUGCCCUUGACUUUGGGAUAACUUCAGGAAACUGGGGCUAAUACCGGAUAGGAGCUCCUGCUGCAUGGUGGGGGUUGGAAAGUUUCGGCGGUUGGGGAUGGACUCGCGGCUUAUCAGCUUGUUGGUGGGGUAGUGGCUUACCAAGGCUUUGACGGGUAGCCGGCCUGAGAGGGUGACCGGCCACAUUGGGACUGAGAUACGGCCCAGACUCCUACGGGAGGCAGCAGUGGGGAAUAUUACACAAUGGGCGGAAGCCUGAUGCAGCAACGCCGCGUGCGGGAUGACGGCCUUCGGGUUGUAAACCGCUUUCGCCUGUGACGAAGCGUGAGUGACGGUAAUGGGUAAAGAAGCACCGGCUAACUACGUG